GACGAACGCUGGCGGCGUGCUUAACACAUGCAAGUCGAACGGAAAGGCCCUGCUUUUGUGGGGUGCUCGAGUGGCGAACGGGUGAGUAACACGUGAGUAACCUGCCCUUGACUUUGGGAUAACUUCAGGAAACUGGGGCUAAUACCGGAUAGGAGCUCCUGCUGCAUGGUGGGGGUUGGAAAGUUUCGGCGGUUGGGGAUGGACUCGCGGCUUAUCAGCUUGUUGGUGGGGUAGUGGCUUACCAAGGCUUUGACGGGUAGCCGGCCUGAGAGGGUGACCGGCAACAUUGGGACUGAGGUGCGGCCCAGACUCCUACGGGAGGCAGCAGUGGGGAAUAUUGCACCAUGGGCGGAAGCCUGAUGCAGCAACGCCGCGUGCGGGAUGACGGCCUUCGGGGUGUAAACCGCUUUCGCCUGUGACGAAGAGUGAGUGACGGUAAUGGGUAAAGAAGCACCGGCUAACUACGUG
This 468-nucleotide ribosomal RNA is filed under the name uncultured bacterium. RNAcentral describes it as "partial 16S ribosomal RNA". It matches the Rfam family "Bacterial small subunit ribosomal RNA", at positions 28 to 507 of the family's 1533-position model. The record is from RNAcentral.